Molecule: long non-coding RNA, 603 nt
Filed under: Nicotiana benthamiana
Lineage: Eukaryota; Viridiplantae; Streptophyta; Magnoliopsida; Solanales; Solanaceae
Description: long non-coding RNA (NBEN_LNC038075)
Source: RNAcentral
CCACAUCAAUAAAUUGAAUGUUGAACACACAGUUACAAAAGUUGAAGUAAUUCAAUUUUCAUGCUUCAAUCCUUUCAUAUUUCAGCUCACAACAAUCCAAGGCAAAGUCGUGUACCUGGACUUGGAAUAAAAUAAAGUAGAAGAAGUCAGCUACAACAGCAAUUCGAACAGCAAUAGCGGUAUGCAAUUCCCAGCAACUCAGAAUCAACGAACAACCCAAGGAAUAAAGCCAGAAGCCCAGGAAGGUUCAAACUCAAACGGGAACAAGCAGAUUAAACCCAAAAAAACUUGAAAUGCAUUCAGUUAUACUCAAAAGGUAGCAGCACACUUCCACAGAUCUAAAACUCAAUCAAAACCAACCUAACUAGCCCCAAACUGCUCGAAAUUGAGCCAGUGACCACCUGAAGCCUCAACCACCAAAUACUGAACUAGAAAGUGGUAAUUAUUAAUUGAAAUUUGAAAUUAGCCUGAGGUAUUCAAAGGAACAGUACACUUUUUGGUUUUUGUUAAAGAGUUUUUGUUGCUUUUGAUUUUUGAAGAUUUUGGUGUUUUUCCCACAUUUCAGAUCUGAAGCUUAUAGAAGAUGGGAAGGAAUUUUGUGAG